Molecule: small nuclear RNA, 131 nt
Organism: Daktulosphaira vitifoliae (grape phylloxera)
Lineage: Eukaryota; Metazoa; Arthropoda; Insecta; Hemiptera; Phylloxeridae
Product: U11 spliceosomal RNA
Exons: 1
Source: RefSeq, a predicted model, not a curated record
AAAAAGGGUGUCUGCCGCUUUUAUGGCACGCGUACUCUUCCGGGGACGUGGGGUAUGGCCAUCAAGACAUACCCGGCACGUAAUUUUUGGAAAUGCGGGCAGUUGGUUUACCUAAGUGUACCGGCGCCCCA